Molecule: ribosomal RNA, 253 nt
Filed under: uncultured bacterium
Lineage: Bacteria
Description: partial 16S ribosomal RNA
Rfam family: Bacterial small subunit ribosomal RNA
Source: RNAcentral
UACGUAGGGUGCGAGCGUUAAUCGGAAUUACUGGGCGUAAAGCGUGCGCAGGCGGUUCUCCAAGUCCGUUGUGAAAGCCCCGGGCUCAACCUGGGAAUGGCAGUGGAAACUAGGGGACUGGAAUCUGGCAGAGGGGGGUGGAAUGCCGCGUGUAGCAGUGAAAUGCGUAGAGAUGCGGCGGAACACCGAUGGCGAAGGCAGCCCCCUGGGCUGAGAUUGAUGCUCAGGCACGAAAGCGUGGGGAGCAAACAGG